This is a long non-coding RNA of Lytechinus pictus (painted urchin), 730 nucleotides long. RefSeq lists it as uncharacterized. NCBI's taxonomy places the organism in Eukaryota, Metazoa, Echinodermata, Echinoidea, Temnopleuroida, Toxopneustidae. The transcript is spliced from 4 exons. The record is from RefSeq and is a predicted model, not a curated record.
ACAAAUGAGAUUAGGCUCCGCCUACCGCGAUCAUUUGAAGACAAAAAUAAGCCCUCAUUGACAUUCAUGAGCAUGAAGAUAUUCAUAAUCCGGCCUUUUCAUUGGCUAAGAGCGUCAUUAAUACGCGAUUUCCCCGAUUCUUUGUCAUCGAUACUAGUGGUAUCGUGUUACAGAAAUAAUUAUUCAUUUGACCUCAUUACGUCAUCUAAUUUAUUCAUUCUGAAACUUUUCUUUCCACACACAAAAUGGACCUACGAACACUCCGGUUGAGUUUGAAGAACAAGAAAAAACAGUAGAGGUCUACCUAUAUGGUUCAAGAUGAUGAUCAUAUAAGUGCAUGUAUCAUUUUGCAGAUUCUCAUCCAGGAUGAUGCAGUUUUACAAUUUCCAUGGAGGUGAUUGAUGAUAAUAAAUAAUCGGUGAAGUAGGCCUAAUAGAACAGCGACUAGACCACAAAGAAAAAUACAACCUACAGCAGUUAUAUGAGACUGGUGUAACAGAUGUUUUCAUUCAAGAAAUCCAACAAUUCAACAUUGAAGAGUCUGACUUAGGAACCACUUGAUGAAGAUGGAAAAGGUUUUUUUUUUUCCAAGUCCAAUUUUUCACACACAAAAAAAUUAUUAUCACAACCCCAAAUUCAUGACGUAUGAAAUUUCUUGUUGAUUUUCAUUAAAACUGGUUGCAAAAGGAGAAGCUAUAAACAUACAAAUAGGAGCGGCGGAGUGAAGUUG